Molecule: ribosomal RNA, 640 nt
Filed under: uncultured bacterium
Lineage: Bacteria
Description: bacterial SSU rRNA
Rfam family: Bacterial small subunit ribosomal RNA (bases 1-541)
Source: RNAcentral
CCUACGGGAGGCAGCAGUGGGGAAUAUUGGACAAUGGGCGAAAGCCUGAUCCAGCAAUGCCGCGUGUGUGAAGAAGGCCUUCGGGUUGUAAAGCACUUUAAGUUGGGAAGAAAAAGCUCUGGCUAACAUCUAGAGCCUUGACGGUACCAACAGAAUAAGCACCGGCUAACUCUGUGCCAGCAGCCGCGGUAAUACAGAGGGUGCUAGCGUUAAUCGGAUUUACUGGGCGUAAAGCGUGCGUAGGCGGUUUGAUAAGUCGAUUGUGAAAGCCCCGGGCUUAACCUGGGAAUUGCAGUUGAUACUGUCAGACUAGAAAACGGUAGAGGGAGCGGAACUCCAGGUGUAGCGGUGAAAUGCGUAGAUAUCUGGAAGAACACCGAUGGCGAAGGCAACCUCCUGGGCCUGUUUUAGACGCUGAGGCACGAAAGCGUGGGUAGCAAACCAGGAUUAGAUACCCUGGUAGUCCACGCCGUAAACGAUGAGACUUGACGUUGGUUGNUGUACAAUACGUGUCGUGACUACGCGAGUAGUUACGUCCGUCCGUCGGGUAGGUACGGCCGGCCGUAAGGUUAGUAACGUUACGAAAGGUAAGUUAGUUACGGACGUUGAGACGNGCGACGGACGACGACGAGGGAGGAGG